AGUAACGCGUGGGGAACCUACCCUAUACAGGGGGAUAACAGCUGGAAACGGCUGCUAAUACCGCAUAAGCGCACAGAAUCGCAUGAUUCAGUGUGAAAAGCCCUGGCAGUAUAGGAUGGUCCCGCGUCUGAUUAGCUGGUUGGUGAGGUAACGGCUCACCAAGGCGACGAUCAGUAGCCGGCUUGAGAGAGUGAACGGCCACAUUGGGACUGAGACACGGCCCAA
This 225-nucleotide ribosomal RNA is filed under the name uncultured bacterium. Its description in RNAcentral is "partial 16S ribosomal RNA". It matches the Rfam family "Bacterial small subunit ribosomal RNA", at positions 109 to 334 of the family's 1533-position model. The record is from RNAcentral.